Molecule: ribosomal RNA, 399 nt
Filed under: uncultured bacterium
Lineage: Bacteria
Description: bacterial SSU rRNA
Rfam family: Bacterial small subunit ribosomal RNA
Source: RNAcentral
GCGGAUUCCGCGGCCGCUGCAGAGUUUGAUCCUGGCUCAGGACGAACGCUGGCGGCGUGCCUAAUGCAUGCAAGUCGAACGCAGGGCGCUUGCGCCGCUGCGUGGCGCACGGCUGAGGAACACGUGGGUAUCUUCCCCGGAGUGGGGGAUAUCGCCGCGAAAGCGUGGCAAUCCCGCAUACGCUCGGCAACGAGGAAAGGCGUCAGCGCUCCGGGAUGAGCCUGCGGCCCAUCAGGUAGUUGGGGGGGUAAUGGCCUCCCAAGGCACUGACGGGUCCCUGGUCUGAGAGGACGACCCAGGCAGACUGGGACUGAGACACGGGCCAGACUCCUAACGGGAGGCAGCAGCAAGGAAUUUUCCCCAAUGGGCGCAAGCUGAGGGAGCAACGCCGCGUGGAGG